AAAGUAGAGGAAGAUGGGCAUGGAUGUUAGCUCGAGGCCAGUCUUCCUCAGCAAAAAGAGGAGGAUUGGCAGUAGUUAGCUCAGGGCUAAUCUUCCUCAAAAAAAUUAAAAACAAAAUUCAAGGACUAGAUAAUUCUCAUGAUAAAGAAAUUGUUCUAGGACAAAGGACAGAGGAAACCAUAGAUUACAUAACAAUUCAAUUUAUAAGGCUAAGCCAGACACAAAGUUUAAAAAAGAUGUAUAGAUGAUGUUCAUUUACGUAUAUGUAUAUGUUAUGUAUAUGAAAACAAAAUUGUUUUUUAAAGCUUGGCCCUAGCCAACAUCUGUUGCCAAUCUUUUCUUUUUUCUUCUUCUUCUCUCCAAAGCCACCCACUACAUAGUUGUUUAUUCUAGUUGUAGGUCCUUCUAGUUCCUCUACGUGGGACACUGCCUCAGCACGGCUUGAUGAGCAGUGCUAAGUCUGUGCCCAGGAUCUGAACCAGCGAAACCCUGGACCACUGAAGCAGAGGUGAGAGUGUGUCUGGGUACCAAGGGUCCCAAUGCAGUGGACCAGCUGCUGAGCUCUUGAAUGUACCUUCAUCCCUGGAGACCAGAGUGGCUGAGAAUCCUGUUGGACAUCCAAGCAUCGUAAGCUGAGUGGUCACGCCACCCCCAACCUGAGGUGCCGAGAAGAGCCAGCCACACACAGCAAGUCUUAAACUGUUCGUUCUCAUUGAUCCAGCAAUCCUACUUCCGUGAAUUUAUCCCAAGGGAAUUAAUACAGAAACUAUAGAUUUGCUACAAGGAUUAUUUUUCUCAAAAUUUAUUUUUAUAACCAAAGAUCAGAGAUAACACAAAUAUCCCACAUGGGGAGAUUGAAUAAACCAAAUACAAUACAUCCAUAUAAUGAAAUAUAUUUCAGCCAUUAAAAGUAUGGUUAAAAAAAAAAACAACUAAUUUUUGACAUGGAAAGUUGCUAAAUGAAAGCAAGAGUUAAGUAGAAAAGAUUACCACACAGGGUUGUCAUCUAUUUGUCUCUUUCUAUCUGCUUGUCUAUCUAACUCCAAAUCCUAAAGUAUAAACACUAUUAGCAAUGGGAGACCUUGGCUAGUGGGAUUAUGGAGAUUUUUGUGCUUUUCCAUAUUCUUCAGGUUUUUCUGUCAUUUACAUGUGACUUUUGUAAUGGAC
RNAcentral lists this long non-coding RNA (1167 nucleotides) under Equus caballus (horse). Its description in RNAcentral is "lncRNA (ENSECAG00000051606.1)". Lineage: Eukaryota; Metazoa; Chordata; Mammalia; Perissodactyla; Equidae. The record is from RNAcentral.